AUGCCGCGUGUGUGAAGAAGGUCUUCGGGAUUGUAAAGCAUCUUUUGGUCUGGGAGAGAAGGGGUGUAGGUUAAUACCCUGCGAUAUUGACGGUACCUGCAGAAUAAGCACCGGCUAACUCUGUGCCAGCAGCCGCGGUAAUACAUAGGGUGCAAGCGUUAAUCGGAAUUACUGGGCGUAAAGCGCGCGCAGGUCGGUUUGGUAAGUUGGAUGUGAAAUCCCCGGGCUCAACCUGGGAACUGCAUUCAGAACUGACAAGCUAGAGUAUGGUCAGAGGGUGGUGGAAUUUCCUCGUGUAGCGGUGAAAUGCGUAGAUAUGUGAAGGAACACCAGAUGGCGAAGGCGACCACCUGGACUGAUACUGACACUGCAUGCGCGAAAGCGUGGGGAGCAAACAGGAUUAAUACCCUGGUAGUCCACGCCCUGCACAAGCGGUGGAGCAUGUGGUAUAAAUUGAAGCAACGCGAAGAACCUUACCAGGCCUUGACAUCCAAUGAACUUUCCAGAGAUGGAUUGAGUGCCUUGGGAAACAUCGAGACAGCUGCUGCAUGAUGGUUGUCAGCUGGUGUCGUGAGAUGAUGGGUUAAGUACUGUAACGAGCACAGCCCUCGUCCUUAGUAGUCAGUCACGUUAAGGUGGGCACUCUAAGGAGACUGCCGGUGACAAACCGGAGGAAGGUGGGGAUGACGUCAAGUCAUCAUGGCCCUUACGGCUAGGGCUUCACACGUCAUACAAUGGUCCGAGUACAGAGGGUUGCCAACCCGCGAGGUGGGAGCUAAUCCCAUGAAAGCCGAUCGUAGUCCGGAUCGCAGUCUGCAACUCGACUGCGUGAAGUCGGAAUCGCUAGUAAUCGCGAAUCAGCAUGUCGCGGUGAAUACGUUCCCGGGUCCUUGUACACACCGCCCGUCACACCAUGGGAGUGGGUUGCACCAGAAGUAGGUAGUCUAACC
Molecule: ribosomal RNA, 950 nt
Filed under: Pseudomonas sp. Chnp3-4
Lineage: Bacteria; Pseudomonadati; Pseudomonadota; Gammaproteobacteria; Pseudomonadales; Pseudomonadaceae
Description: bacterial SSU rRNA
Rfam family: Bacterial small subunit ribosomal RNA
Source: RNAcentral